Long non-coding RNA from Magnolia sinica, 1001 nucleotides. RefSeq lists it as uncharacterized. The record is from RefSeq and is a predicted model, not a curated record. Lineage: Eukaryota; Viridiplantae; Streptophyta; Magnoliopsida; Magnoliales; Magnoliaceae. The transcript is spliced from 3 exons.
UAUAUUGUCAGAGUUUGAUGGUUCAUAUGGAAUGAACUCCGGCAUUGUACAUGUGGCAUGUGUGUAACCCACAUUAAACCGUUCAAAUCGCAAGACCUGAUAUGGAUGAGUCAACUCACAAAUCAGAUUUAAGUGAUCUUAAGCGUCGAUACUUGCCAUCACACUAGUACUAUGUGGUAGAGCCUCCCCUCUUCAGGAGGUGGAAGGAAGAUUUAUUUAUUUAUUUAUUUUUGUUGUGAAGACCCAGAUGGACAGCAAAUGGUUAAAAGUACAUAAAUCAGAUGUUCCAGCUAUUCAAUUAGCACCCUUCGGGGGACAGCGGUAAAAAGAAGAAGAAGAAGAAGUUAAAUGCCAGCUAGAACUUGGGACGCUUGCACGUGGGGAGCUGGAAGAUGGACGCCGGCAUAUGGAGCACGUGUACGCUGGCACAAAUGGAGUGCUUGAAGAUUGAUCGGCGCCCAUUUGCACAGUGGCACAUGUGGUGGAAAAUUGGCCACGUGUGGCACAUUGAUGGUGGAAAAUCGGCAACAUGUGGCACAUGGGGCACGGAAUGUCCUGUUCCAACCAAAUAUCGAAUUUUAAGAAAUACUAAUUUAUUUUUAUUUUUAAUUAUUAUUUAAGGUUGGCAUAAGCAACUAUCCGUUUGACAAGAUUAGUAGCCUGGUUGCCUUUGUACAACCUUUUCGGAGCCUAACUUUUCUGCCAACCAAGCGGCUAUACCACAUACGUAAUGUACCCACGUGAACAAACGACGUGUGUGAGAUCCCGCUCGUUCAUUAGGCAGCGGAGGUAUGAAAAGUUGAUAAGAGGCUACGUUGAUUUUAGGUGGGAGGUGUAUGUCCCACCAAACAAAGUGUCUUGGCUGAGUUCGGGCCAAGUUAGAUAUAUGACGGAUCCCUUGUGACGAACAACUUGAAUGAAUCUUACAUGAUUUGUUGCGUUGGGCCACAUCUUCGUUGAUGAAUGAUGGAUAUUUCGUUGGCUGGGUCUUGGACGAGGUU